CAAUCCAAAUAUCAACUACCCAUAAACAUCUAAGCCUUAGAAUAAAAGACCCAUCAAAUACCCAUACUAGGGUUGAGCCACAACCCUAGCUAAUGGGUCAAGCUACUCAUAAUAAUGAAAGAAAUCAGGAAAAUAGAUGAAGAAUAACCCAUAAGAUUUAAUUACAAACUAAGAUAAUGAAGAUUCAGUGUUAAAGUAGCUACAAAUUACUCAAAAUAGAACAAAACAGCCGUUCACGUGCUAUGGAGUCUAACAUAUUACAAAAGAUACCCUAAAAAUGUGAAAAGAAAGUAUUUAUACUAGACCGAAUUUUCUGGACAAAAAUACCCCUGCGGAGGUACCGCGGACUGCGGAAAAUGCAUCGCGGAUGCGGUGAGUCUUUUUGGCUUGAAUAUUCACUAUUUGAAUUUGGCCACCGCGGCCCGCACAAAAAGCACCGCGGCCAUGGUGGCUUCAUUGCGGUCCGCAUAAAAUGCUCCGCGGAUCGCACUGGCUUCAAUUGUCCAAACUUCUAACUCUCUGAAACCCCUUCUUCGCGGACCGCAUAAAAGGGAUUGCGGCCGCGAGAAAACCUUCGUGGACCGCACUGCUUUAAGCUCCAAAUUUGCACCUCUCUGAAUCUCCUCACCGUAGACCGCACUAAAUGGAUUGCGGCUGCAGUGGGUCUGUUGCAACUAUGCUUUGACUUGUUUUUGGUACUUGUGCAUGCUUCACUCCUUUUUGAGUUGGUUUUAACUACUUGUCACCUUUUUGACCAAACCCUGCAAACAAGCACAACAUGUAAGCCUUUGGGACUAUUUUUACACAUUUUUAACCAAAACUCAAGUAAAAUGGAGUAUAAAAUGAAUUAGAAUCCCUAGUUAUCAGUAAAGGAGAUUCCACUUCCGUGGUAGAAGAGACACCACCAACAGUUAAAAAGAUCCUCGAGUCUUGGCUAACCGACACGCUAACUAGCGUCCUCCAUAAAUCUGUUCAGGAUAUGGUUGCAGAAAAUGCAAGGACUUGCGUUAUACCACCAGCGGAUGAGCAGCGGGACCAGUUCCCUCCUCUCACGAUAGGUAUUACUUACAAUAUUAUUAAUAGUGCAGGUGACGACACCCUCGCCUCCAUUUUGAAAAGGAUGGAGAAAAUGGAGAACGAGAACAAAGUACUUCGAGACCAAAUGAGAGAACACCGGGAAAGGGUCGAUAAGAUACCCGGUGCCCCAAAGCUCUUGCUAAAAAGAGAUGUUGAUCGGUUCGUCGAGAAUCCAUACAUUGAUGACGCCGCCCCGUAUGCCAUACCAAAAACCUUUAAGAUGUCGCCCUACCUGAAAAUAUAUGAUGGUACGACCGAUCCCGAAGACCAGGUAACUCAUUACGCCACCGCCGUGAAAGGUAAUGACCUCGCCAAGGAACAAGAAUCCUUUAUUUUGUUGAAGAAAUUUGGCAAAGCCCUCAUGGGAGGUACAUCUACAUGGUAUUCACAACUUCCUCGUGUUCCAUUGAGACCUUCGAAGAGAUGGCCGACAAGUUCGUUACGGCCCAUGCUGAGACCAAAAGGCCGAAGCAAGAGUAAACGACAUAUUUUCCAUCAAACAGUCUCUAGGAGAAGGAUUGAGGGACUUUCUCACCCGUUCCAACCGAGUAAGGAUGACCUUGCCAAAUGUAACGGAAGUGAUGGCGGUUGCAGUGUUCCAGAAUGGGCUGAGCAGAAAUGGUUUAUGGGAAACUAGAAAAUUAUUAAGUUGGCUUAUGAAAUACCCCCCAACUACUUGGGAUGAAAUACACAAUGCAUAUUUCAAUGGUCCGAGAAGAUGAGGACGACCUCAAUAGUCCAACUCAUCGAUUGACCUCGGUACAAGCCGAAUCUAGAAAAGAUCGAAGAAAUGAUAUCAGGAGGGACCUAGUAGCUGCACGACCCAACCGAGAAUGACAUUUACCAUAUGUCAGAAGCGCCAUUGUGCCUUCCUCCCACCACGAAGAGGACCCACCCAGAUCAAAGACAGGGACUCACCGGAAUGAAAGAGGUAUGCCCUUUUUGUUAUCUGCUCACAUUUUUUGUGUAUCACCUAUAAAAAUAGUCUACUCCUUGGAGAAGCUCGGACCUAAGGGGAAGUGGCCGCAAAAGAUGAGAUCAGACUCGAAUACUAGAAAAUUAAAUGCCCUUUGCGAAUUCCACCUAGAGUGAGGACAAAAACUUAGGAUUGCAUCGCUUUAAGGAAGGAGGUCGUAAACAUGCUAUGACAGGGACACCUCAAAGAGUUGUUGAGCGACCGAGGAAGGACCAAUUUUGCUAGAGGACGUUAACAAUAUCAAGGACUACCAAAAUCACUCUCGCCAACCCGUACCAUCUAUAUGAUCAUUGGCGACAAUGACGAUGCCUCUAUAAACAGUGUGAAAUUCACCAUAAGCCACAAUUUCAAACGGUCAAUCACCCAUGAACGGUAUGACGAAUUUAAAGAAAGUACCAUCUUGUAUAAGUCGGAUACCGACGGUUUGGAUUUCCUUCACUAUGAUGCCCUUUUUAUCACUUUAAGAAUUUUACAUAUCGAUGUGAGACGCAUUAUAGUAGAUGUGGAAGCGGUGAGUGCAUUAUCCACCCUCGAGUACUUGCACAAAUGAAACUCGAGGAUAAGAUAGUGUCGCACUGCAUUAUGCUAACGGGUUUUAAUAAUGCAGUUAAGCGAACAUACUGUGAGAUCACACUCCCCGUCCUAGCUGGUGGAGUCGCUCUGGAAACCACAUUCCAUAUCAUGAACCAAGAAACAACAUACAACGCCAUAAUAGGGCGAUCAUGGAUACACACCAUGAGAGCCAUCCCCUUCAGCUUGUACCAAGUCAUUAAAUUCCCAACUCCAUGGGAAAUAUUCAGUAUACGAGGGGAACAACGCACAUCCCAGGAAUCCUACCACAUCGCUCUAGAUUGUCUGGUCGCUCAACAAAUGAAGGACAAAGAAAAAGAGGCAUAGCAAUCAAUUGGGUCGAGGUCGGACGAGGAAGUCAUCAAAGACCCCGAUAUGGUCGAAGUUGUAGAAUCGACCAUAGAAGACCUCGACCCCGUUCAAUUAGAUGGCAACAACCAUAGCAAGAAAUCUUACAUCAGCAGCAAGCUUCAAGAACUAGGUAAAUUUCGUCAAUUCUUAACAACUAAUACGGAUUUAUUUGCUUUUAGCCAUGCAGAUAUGCUAGGUAUCCCGAAGGAAACCACCACACACAAGCUGAAUGUCGACCCACUUCACCCCCGGUGAGACAGGUCCAGCUCAAGUUCAACUCUGCAAUCAAUGACGCGGUACAUGAAGAGGUCGGAAAAUUAUUGGAAAAUGGCUCCAACAGGGAGUCAAAAUACCCCUAAUGGAUUGCCAAUGUGGUCAUGGUGAAAAAAAAUGGCAAGUGGUGAAUGUUCGUGGACUUUACAGAUUUGAACAAAGCAUGCCCCAAAGAUUCAUUUCCUUGACCUCAUAUCGACCAAAUCAUCAAUGCGACGGCGGGCAUGAACUGCUGAUUUUUUUGGACGCCUACUCAGGCUAUAAUUAGAUCCUCAUAGAAGAAGAGGAUCAGGAGAAAACCACUUUCAUCAUCCAUCAGGGGACGUACUGCUACAGAGUCAUGCCCUUCGGACUGAAAAACAUAGGAUCAACGUACCAAAGUUUAGUAACAAAGAUUUUGAAAGACCAACUCGGUAAAACUAUGGAAGUCUACAUAGACGACAUGUUGGUAAAAUCCAAAAGGAAAGAAGGCCACAGAGAUCACUUGAGAGAAACCUUCGACAUACUUAGGCAAUAUAGAAUGAAACUAAACCCCGAAAAGUGUGCAUUCGAUGUGGCUUCAGGAAAAUUCUUGGGCUUCCUAGUGUCACAUCGAGGUAUCGAGGUCAACCCCAACCAAAUCAAAGCCAUCGAAGGGAUACCAGAGCACUUGACCACCAAAAACAGGUUCAGAGGUUGACUGGCCAUAUCGCCACUCUUUCAAGGUUCAUUUCACCAUCAUCUGAUAGGUGCCACAAAUUCUUGGCGUACUUAAAAAGGAUAGCGACCUCCAAUGGACCUCUGAGUGCGCCCAAGCCCUGAAGGUGUUGAAGGCUUACUUGUCGUCACCAUCAUUGCUUUCAAAAUUGGAACCAAGGAAGUGCCUCAUCGUCUACCUUGCUAUAUCUGAAGUAGCUGUGAGUGCAAUCCUGGUCCGAGAAAAUAAAUGUACGCAGUCUCCCCUCUAUUACAUUAGCAAAACACUAGUCAACGCUUAGAUGAGGUACCCUCACCUCGAAAAAUUGACCCUGGCCUUGAUCGUAGCUUUACAAAAGCUUAAACCCUACUUCUAGUGCCACCCCAUCUCGGUAGUCACAACUUUCCCCUUAAGAAGUAUUUUGCAUAAACCCGAGCCAUCGAGCAGGUUGGCCAAAUGGGACAUAGAACUAAGCGAGCAUGAUAUCACAUAUUAACCGCGAAUAGCGAUAAAGUCACAAGUUCUUGCUGACUUCAUCAUCAACUUUAGCACAAAAAUAAUACCUGAAGUAAAAAAAAAAGCUGCCCACGCUUCUCCCCAAACACAAGACCUCUGGGUCUUGUACACCGACAAUGCUUCUAAUGCGUUAGGGUCCGGAUUAGGACUCAUACUCGAUGUUCCGAUCGGCAAAAUGAUUCUCCAGUCCAUAAGGUGCCCGGACAUGACUAACAACGAGGUCGAGUAUGAGGCCAUAAUUGCAGGGUUAAAGCUAGUACUCAAAUACGGGGCAAGACGGUAAAAUGAUGCUGCGAUUCUCAACUCGUAAUCAACCAAGUCACAAGGACUUUCCAAAUAAAAGAGCAAAGGUUACAAAAAUACCAGAUCGAGAUCUGUAAGCUACUGUCCGAGUUUGAUGAAUGUCAUCUCGACCAUAUCCUCCAAGCACAGAACACCAAGGUAGACGACCUCGCCAAAUUAGUAGCAGCCACCAAAAACAUUACAACCAGAGAAAGAAAUGUGGUCCACCUCCUCAACUCAUCGAUAGAUCAAAUCGAGUUAAGAUCCAUAAACUUCACUUGGGACUGACACAACCGUAUAUUACAUAUUUUCAGGAUGGCGUACUCCCGGAUAAUAAAAAAAUCCAAUAAACUUCGAAUGCAAGCAGCCAGGUACAACAUCGUUCAUAACGACCUUUACGAGUGGACGUAUGGCGGCCCCCUGGUGAAAUGCUUAGGCCCAAAUCAACGCGGCGCGUUCUUAAAGAGGUCCAUGAAGGGCAUUGCGGAGCUCAUUCCGGCAAUCGAGCUUUGGUCAAAUGCCUCAUACGGGCAGGAUAUUACUGGCCCACCAUGAAAAAAGAGGCCGUAGAUUUCAUAAAAAAUAUGAGCAGUGCCAAAAGUACACCACAAUGAUCCACCAAGAAGGCGAGCACCUCCACUUAGUCACUUCCCCUUGGCCAUUCAUCAAAUAGGUAAUGGACAUCGUAGGCCCCCUCCCCGGGGGGUGAGGUAAUGUACGAUUUCUUUUGAUUUUAAUUGACUAUUUUUUUAAAUGAGUAGAAGCAGGAGAAUUCGCCCAAAUAUGCGAAUAAGAAGUGAUCGCCUUCAUAUGAAAAACAUCGUAUGUUAUUUCGGCCUUCCCAAAGAGAUCAGUUGCAACAAUGGACCCUAAUUUAUAGGGAAAAAAAGUUGCCGAAGUUUUUGAGAAAUGGCAUAUCAAAAGAAUACUCUUAAUACCGUAUCACCCCGUGGGUAACGGGCAAGGAAAGUCCUCCAACAAAUUGAUACCGAACAUCACGAAGAAAUAACCCGAAAACGCCAAGGGGUUAUUGCCGGAAUUAUUACUAGAAGUACUCUGGGUCUAUUGAACAAUGCCGAAGACGAGCACAUGAGAGACGCCUUACUCAUUAGUCUAUGGGACUGAUGUUGUAAUACUGGUCGAACUCAGAGAGCCUAGUCUGAAAUACCCUCACGAGAGCGGGCCGAGGAACGAUGAAAGCAAAAGGCAAGAGCUCGAUGAAGGUAUAUAGCCUACAUAAGGAUUAUCGCCCAAAAACAACAGGAAUAACGCUAUUACAACAAAAAGGCAAAGGUAAGACCGCUAAAAGUUGGGGGCUACAUGCUCAAAGCAAAAACACAAGCAAGCAAAGACUCACGGAAAGGUAAACUAGGAACAAAUCGGGACAACCCAUACAAAAUCAUGGCAACAGCAAAUAAAGGGUCAUUCCAACUAGAAAAAAUGGAAAGAAAACUACUACCAAACAACUAGAAUAUCACCCACCUCAAGUACUUCAACUUUUAAGAAAAAACAUCCUCCAAGUCGUACUCUUUUUUCCCUCACUUGAGUUUUGUCCCAAUUGGGUUUUCUCGAGGAGGUUCUUAAACGAGGCGACGAGGGGACACUUCAAAUUGAAGUGCGAACAGACGGAGUCACAGGACGGCUAGUUCAUUGCUUGACCUCUCAAUAUACUUCUCCAGAUCGACCAAUGAAGGGACUAGAUAGACUGGGACUGAAAUGCCAGCCAACACUAGAUAGACUGGGACUAGAAUGUCAGCCCGAAAAGUGUGUAAAUUUCUCCAAGUGUAUGAACAAAGCACAAAUGCAUGAAGUUUAUCCAUAUUUUCACCAUACAAAUAGAUAAAGCAAUGUUUCCUCAAUACCUAUUCGGCCCUCGGCCAUAACAAAAUUUAGGUUAUAUUCGACCUCAUUCGAAUCAACACCUAUUCGGCCCUCGGCCAUAACUAAAUAUCGGUUAUAUUCGACCUCGUUCAAAUCAACACCUAUUCGGCCCUUGGACAUAAGUAAAUAUCGGUUAUAUUCGAUCUCGUUCGAAUCAACACCUAUUCGGUCCUCGGCCAUAACUAAAUAUAGGUUAUAUUCGACCUGGUUCGAAUCAACACUUAUAUGGCCUUCGGGCAUAACUAAAUAUAGUUAUAUUCGACCUCGUUCGAAUCAACACCUAUUUGGUCCUUAUCCAUAACUAAAUAUAGGUUAUAUUCGACCUCAUUCGAAUCAACACCUAUUCGGCCCUUGGCCAUAACUAAAUAAAGUUUAUAUUCGUACUCGUCCGAAUCAACACCUAUUCGGCGUUCAGCCAUAACAAUUCUAAAUAUAGUUCAAAUCAACACCUAAUCGACCCUCGUCCAGAAAUAAACAUGCGAUAUGUUCUACCUCGUUCGAACUAACACCUACUGGCCCUCAGCCAUGAUCAAAUUGAGGUUUUGUUUCAACCUCGUUCAACCUACUUGAGCUAAGUUGUUAUCACACCUCCGUUUUCUACCCCUAAAGGUAUAGGGGAGUAUUUCCCAAUUUAAGUAACAAUCGAAACGAGAUUAUUUAAUUAAAAUUAGAGUCGCCACUUGGGUUAGUUUAUGGUGUCCCAAGUCACUAGUUUAAAUCCCGAAUCGGGGAAAGAUUGACUCUCUUUUACAGUCCGCAAAUACAAAAAUCCGGGUAAGGAAUUUUGUUAACCCGAGAGAAGGUGUUAAGCAUUCCCGGGUUCUGUGGUUUUAGCACGGUCGUUCAACUGUUAUUAUUUGCCUAUUUAUUUGAUUUUAAAAUAUCUUUGAAACCUAUGUGCAUUUUUAUUCCUUUUAACCAACUUUUAAUAACCCAAAUAUUUUAAUAAUAUUUAUUUAAUUACACGUUUGUGAAUCAUGUCAUGGGAACCGUACCCACGAUCCACAACGUGUUUAUUUUAUUAAAAAAAGAUUAAACUGUAGCUGGGUCACAUAAAUGUACCCUUGGACUUUUAGAAAUUAAAUGUCACGACCAUGUCACGGUAACUGUACCCGUAGCUAUGACAAUUUAUUUAAUUAACGCGCCUAAAGCAAAACAACGAGAGUUCAAGGCAUUUUCUACAUUAAUUAAGAUAAUUAAUAUGAGGGUCAUAGAUUGUGGAUUUUGUUUGCGUAUGGCACACCUCAAUUUAUUUUAAAGGAAAAGAAUUGUAUUUGGAUAAGGCAAACCAAAAAUACUCCAACUUAUAUCUAAUUUAAAACUAAAUAUCACAACCACGUCACGGGAACCGUACCUGUAGUUGUAAUAAUAUAAUUAAGUGCCUAAAGCAAGCUACGACGUUUGAACUAUUCCCUAAAAAAAACUAAAAUCGAACGAGACAAAUAAUUACCUACAUUAAAUUGAUCAAAACUGCUCCUACCAAUUUGAGAUAUCCAGCUUAACGGAAGGGAAAGGGAUUAGACAUGAUUAAUGUAGAAUUUUGUGAACACCUGUGAGUAUUUCCUCGUAGCAACUUUUAACCAAAUUGUCAGAUACAUGAAAUGCAAUGACAACUAAAUUUGUAAUCUACAUGUAGCAUUCUGGAUUCAGCAAUUCAUUUAGAGAAAUCAAAUUGGUAAUACCAAUAUCCGACUGAACAAUUAGUAAAGCCAAGUCCAACAGGCAACACCUGAACAAGUUAAACCAAAUCUACUAGCAACAGAGCAAAAAUAUAAAUCAGAACCAACAGAAGGAACAGUUUAAGCAUUCUUUGACUCGAUCCGUGUCAAACUCCUACGGUCAUUCUUAGCCAAAUUCAUGAUUCCAGGGCAUUAAGCAAAACUGAAAUAGCAACUUAUGACAAAUGAAAUGGCACUCAAGCACACACAAGGGUUAAACAGGGCCAACUGAAGCAUGGCCAUCCCACACGAUUUAACAGGACCUGGUACCUAAAGUGCAAUGUUUAUCAGAAUGGACAAAGGCGCAUAGCUCAACUAGCAAAUGCAAAAUGAUCUCAAAGGAAACAAAUCCACACUAUUACACAAGCUUCAUAUGAUAUUUUGUUUAAGGAGUUUAGUGAUAGAAUCAUGCUAAAAACAAACAUGAACACCCAUUGAUCCUUCCAACAUGAUCUGUGUCUGCAACUAGCACAUAUGAUCUUUUAAACUAAGAUCAGCACAUGGAAUUGAAGAUAUGAAAAUAAAUUGCAUUGAAUGCAGAAUGACACCUCACUUCCUUGGAUUCUCUAUUAAUGGUCCACUCUACACUCUUACCUCAUACAGUCACAGACAUUCACAGAUCGAAGAUGCAGAAGAAGAAGUAAGACUAGCCAGUGUGCGAGUUACUAAGCAAUUGAGAAAAGCACCUCACAAAAUUUUUGAAAUUCACGAGCCCUCUAAUUCAAGUUUGAACUUCAGCAGCUUCAAACCAACAAAACAUGCGAAAAUGAUCAUGAAAUCAGAGAAAGGGGAAACUCUUCAGUGAUUCAUGUCGAACAUAUUGAGACCAAGACAGAAGAUACAAGAAGAUUAACUUGAAUAUCAAAUCAUAUCAUAUGCAACAGCAGAAGCACAAGAAAAUCUCGUCUUAUGAAGCGAUCGUUCCUUAACAACAUGACAAAAAAUUCUGACCAACAACACUUUGAAAAAAAACAACUGUUCAAGUAAAGAGGGUGAUUCUAGUUUGAAGCUUCUAGUAAAUGAGGAAGAUUUCACAAGAACAAAUCAUUUAUAGUCCAAAAAACAAACAUCACGAGAAUAAGAAUCCUAGAUUCAUGCUCGCUUAAAAAUCACAAAAAGCUGAAGACAUCGUUCAUUUGAAAGCGAUGAAAUCUUGACUCAAUAUAUAUUUCGACCCCGUAAUAACAGUUACAGCAUACAGGGAAUAGAAGACGAACACUCAAACCAGCUUUUAUUAGUUGACCACAUUUAGCACAUAUCAAAUAUCAUUUCCGAAUAUGAAUCGGGACUAAAUGAUAAAUCCAAACUCGACUCCUUCAUGAGGUUUGAUCACAGAACAAAGAACAAACCAUUCUAAAGACAGAAAUCCCAUAGCUCAAGAACAUCUCAAAAACAAAGUUACAUGGGAGAAAAGAUCAAACCUGAAAUGGCAAACUUCUUUUAAUAAUUAUAGACUCAAUAAUACACCUUUUGACUCCAAAUCCUAGCGAGGUUCAGCAGCAAAUCAGCAGGAAAACAGUAGCAAAGCGAAGUCAACGAACUUGAACCUCACGACCAAUCGAUAGACCUUAGUUCAUUUUUCAUGCCUUUGGAACUCAAAGUCCGAUUGAAAAAUUAAGAAAAAUUGUAUGUUCUUCUUCAAACCUUUAAAAGAAACUUUUAGAGAAGAGAAAUGAGAAGAAGAAAAAAAUCCUUAAACCUUUCCUCUCCAAUUUUUUACCCCAAAAUUCUCUGUCCUCUACAAAAUCAGAUGAGGUCCCUUUUUAAAAACGAACAGCUGAUGAAUGUGAGGCUUGGAUUGAGUGAAAUGGAUCCAACACCUCUCACUCAUCCAACGCUCGCCCUCAAGAACCUUCCAUCGCGUGAUAUAGCUCGAAAUCGGGGGAGUCAGGGAGGGGGAAUCUUUUUGGUGUCAGAAACCGUUACACCUAUGUGGCAAGGGGAGAGAGGGGGGAAGCGUGUGAGGUGAGUUAGGGGGUGAACUCGGGCGAGUUUGGGCGAGGCAGAGGUGAGUUUUGGUGAAAGAGAAUAUGAACAAUGAGGGCACCGCUUGAGUCUUG
RNAcentral lists this long non-coding RNA (10380 nucleotides) under Nicotiana tabacum (common tobacco). RNAcentral describes it as "long non-coding RNA (NTAB_LNC008490)". Lineage: Eukaryota; Viridiplantae; Streptophyta; Magnoliopsida; Solanales; Solanaceae. The record is from RNAcentral.